Molecule: ribosomal RNA, 443 nt
Filed under: uncultured bacterium
Lineage: Bacteria
Description: partial 16S ribosomal RNA
Rfam family: Bacterial small subunit ribosomal RNA
Source: RNAcentral
CCUACGGGAGGCAGCAGUGGGGAAUAUUGGGCAAUGGGCGCAAGCCUGACCCAGCAACGCCGCGUGAAGGAAGAAGGCUUUCGGGUUGUAAACUUCUUUUCUCAGGGACGAAGCAAGUGACGGUACCUGAGGAAUAAGCCACGGCUAACUACGUGCCAGCAGCCGCGGUAAUACGUAGGUGGCAAGCGUUAUCCGGAUUUACUGGGUGUAAAGGGCGUGUAGGCGGGAAAGCAAGUCAGAUGUGAAAACCAUGGGCUCAACCUGUGGCCUGCAUUUGAAACUGUUUUUCUUGAGUACUGGAGAGGCAGACGGAAUUCCUAGUGUAGCGGUGAAAUGCGUAGAGAUUAGGAGGAACACCAGUGGCGAAGGCGGUCUGCUGGACAGCAACUGACGCUGAGGCGCGAAAGCGUGGGGAGCAAACAGGAUUAGAUACCUGAGUAGUC